This 72-nucleotide transfer RNA is filed under the name Camelus bactrianus (Bactrian camel). It matches the Rfam family "tRNA". Rfam says of the family: Transfer RNA (tRNA) molecules are approximately 80 nucleotides in length. Their secondary structure includes four short double-helical elements and three loops (D, anti-codon, and T loops). Lineage: Eukaryota; Metazoa; Chordata; Mammalia; Artiodactyla; Camelidae. The record is from Rfam by way of RNAcentral. RNAcentral also lists the same sequence under 1 other name.
AAGGGUGUAGCUCAGCCGUAGAGUGUGUGCUCAGCAUGCACAUGGUCCUGGGUUCAAUCCCUGGUCCCGUUG